This 497-nucleotide ribosomal RNA is filed under the name uncultured bacterium. RNAcentral's name for it is "partial 16S ribosomal RNA". It matches the Rfam family "Bacterial small subunit ribosomal RNA", at positions 28 to 507 of the family's 1533-position model. The record is from RNAcentral.
GAUGAACGCUGGCGGCGUGCCUAAUACAUGCAAGUCGAGCGAACGGACGAGAAGCUUGCUUCUCUGAUGUUAGCGGCGGACGGGUGAGUAACACGUGGAUAACCUACCUAUAAGACUGGGAUAACUUCGGGAAACCGGAGCUAAUACCGGAUAAUAUUUUGAACCGCAUGGUUCAAAAGUGAAAGACGGUCUUGCUGUCACUUAUAGAUGGAUCCGCGCUGCAUUAGCUAGUUGGUAAGGUAACGGCUUACCAAGGCAACGAUGCAUAGCCGACCUGAGAGGGUGAUCGGCCACACUGGAACUGAGACACGGUCCAGACUCCUACGGGAGGCAGCAGUAGGGAAUCUUCCGCCAUGGGCGAAAGCCUGACGGAGCAACGCCGCGUGAGUGAUGAAGGUCUUCGGAUCGUAAAACUCUGUUAUUAGGGAAGAACAUAUGUGUAAGUAACUGUGCACAUCCUGACGGUACCUAAUCAGAAAGCCACGGCUAACUACGUG